CAAAAAUAGUUUAAUGAUGGUGACACUUUAAUGUAACAACUCUUUUUUUAGUGUGUAAGUAUCAAGUUCAAGUUUAAUUAGAGACGUAUUUAUAAUUAAAAUUGCAAUGCAAUACAGUGACUUACUCUAAAAUAGAAAAAAAUCCUUUCUAUAGAUUACAACUAUUAUUAUUUACUCACUGACCAUUGACAAAGAGCAAAACGAAGUGAAAACUAUUACCAUAUUUGAAGCAUGUAACAUGUCUUUGUCAAGCAAUCAUGAGUCCGAAAAUCGUGAUGCUUUACGUCAAACACGCAUAACGUAUUUAUAAGAAGAUUAAACUAUGAUACACCAUUAUAUAUAGCUUUAAUGUCAAUAAUUAAAUACCCGUUUUGCAAUUCAUUUCAUGGCAAUACACACAGUUAUUGAACUCAUCAAGAAGGUGUACAACUAAUGUACCAAUUUUCUUCUUCAGUGUGUGAGUAACAAUUUACAUAUGAUUGAGAGAAGAAAAGUACAAUCAUUAUUAGUCACAUAAUCGCCGAUGACCAUAAACAAAACGAACAGAAAGUUGACACCAUAGUUGAAGCAGCAUGAAAACCUGCCUUGUCAAGCAUACAUAAAAGCAAUAACUAUUUAAGAAAUAACUCAUG
Molecule: long non-coding RNA, 632 nt
Filed under: Mytilus galloprovincialis (Mediterranean mussel)
Lineage: Eukaryota; Metazoa; Mollusca; Bivalvia; Mytilida; Mytilidae
Source: RNAcentral